Molecule: long non-coding RNA, 348 nt
Filed under: Fragaria vesca (wild strawberry)
Lineage: Eukaryota; Viridiplantae; Streptophyta; Magnoliopsida; Rosales; Rosaceae
Description: long non-coding RNA (FVES_LNC000825)
Source: RNAcentral
UCUCUGCUGCUGCUGUUGUUUCUGGUCCAUACUUAUAUUCUUGAUUGUGGCUCUCCUCGCCGCUAUAGCCGGCACGGCUCUCUACGUCCUCUACCGUCCCCACCGCCCUGAGUUCACCGUCACCUCCUUCAAAAUCGGGAAGCUCAACCUCACCGAAAACGCCGACGGCGCCAGCUCACACCUCGUCACUCGCUUCAACCUCACUCUGGCAUCCAAAAACCCCAACAACCAUCUUAGCUUCGCAUAUGAGUCCUUCGCGCUCACUCUCUCCGCCAACAACGACGUCGUUCUCGGCAACGGCUCGAUCCCGGCCUUCUUCAGCGACACCAAGAACUUCACCUCCUUCCG